AUAACACGCAAUCAAUACAACUUUCAACAACGGAUCUCUUGGCUCUCGCAUCGAUGAAGAACGCAGCGAAAUGCGAUACGUAAUGUGAAUUGCAGAAUUCAGUGAAUCAUCGAAUCUUUGAACGCACCUUGCGCCCCUUGGUAUUCCG
This 148-nucleotide ribosomal RNA is filed under the name Lactarius alnicola. RNAcentral describes it as "5.8S ribosomal RNA". The stretch from base 19 to 148 matches the Rfam family "5.8S ribosomal RNA", at positions 1 to 130 of the family's 154-position model. Rfam says of the family: 5.8S ribosomal RNA (5.8S rRNA) is a component of the large subunit of the eukaryotic ribosome. The record is from RNAcentral. Lineage: Eukaryota; Fungi; Basidiomycota; Agaricomycetes; Russulales; Russulaceae.